Camelus dromedarius (Arabian camel) is the source of this 543-nucleotide long non-coding RNA. RefSeq lists it as uncharacterized. The record is from RefSeq and is a predicted model, not a curated record. Lineage: Eukaryota; Metazoa; Chordata; Mammalia; Artiodactyla; Camelidae. The transcript has 3 exons.
GGUGCCAUCGCAUGGAGAUACUGGUUCUGGAGUGUGACUCUGGUAUUCUGUGUGCCAAGCCAAAUGGGAACCAAACAGAUCUGUAGUGCUGGCUUCCUCACCCUGGACUGCUGCUCUCCCAGUGUAACCUCAUGAGAGAAUUAAGGGUACCCGAAGAAGAGGCAUUGCAGAGUUGGAGGUACAGAGCACGGACAAGACUGGAAUUCCUACCUGUUAAAUGGGAGUGUGAUGAACAUUUAAUUCCGGGACAAUGAAGUCCUUAUCUCAUGAACAAUUAUUACAACAGAUUUCCUAAUACCUGAAAUUUCAAGAUAAGAGUGUUGAUUAGAAAGGAACAGACAACUCUGGUCACAGAACUUGCAGUUUUGCCGCAUGACAACUUUCCAGGGGCUCUCUACAGCUCCAGUGAACUCCAGAACCUGUGUGCUCUCACCAGAAUCCACCUGCUGGUGUUGCCAACCGACUGACUCAGUGAGCUUUGAAUGAACUGGUGUUCCCUCCAUGGUCAAUAUCUGGAUUCAAGUCAGGUGUCUCCUAUCCUCU